AGUAAUAAUAAUAAAUUACGGAUUGCACCCGACAAAACAUUAGAGAAGAAGAAGAAGCUUACGUCAUUCGACGCGACACUUUCCACGGUCGGAGCUGAUCCGGAUCACAUACACAGGAGUCACUCAUUGAAGAUGAAUCACAGCUGGACAGGGAUCUUCGAAUAAUUGAGAGACACCAUGGUGUAAAAG
Molecule: long non-coding RNA, 189 nt
Organism: Gambusia affinis (western mosquitofish)
Lineage: Eukaryota; Metazoa; Chordata; Actinopteri; Cyprinodontiformes; Poeciliidae
Exons: 3
Source: RefSeq, a predicted model, not a curated record